ACAGGACCCCACUAGAGAGACAACUGGAUAAUCAGCUGAACAUGAGCUCCGAGCGCAACGCUGUGGGCAGAACGGCUUAUGCGAUUGUUGGAUAUAUAAACAGGCAAAUCUUGAACAUUCAAUGGGCGUGUGCAGCAUUCAGUGCAAUCCACACCGGGAGUAUCUUCUGGCUACAGGAAGCUAUGACGAACAUGUUCUCCUAUGGGACACCAGGAAUAUGAAGCAGCCAUUGGCAGACACCCAUGUUGAGGGUGGAGUUUGGAGGCUGAAGUGGCACCCAACACGUGAGCACUUGCUGUUGGCUGCUUGCAUGCAUAAUGGAUUCAAAAUCCUUGACUACCAAGGAAGUAUGG
Non-coding RNA from Chelonoidis abingdonii (Abingdon island giant tortoise), 353 nucleotides. The record is from RefSeq and is a predicted model, not a curated record. NCBI's taxonomy places the organism in Eukaryota, Metazoa, Chordata, Testudines, Testudinidae.